GCAUUGGUGGUUCAGGGGUAGAAUUCUCACCUUCCGUGUGGUAGACCUAGGUUCAAUUCCUGGCCAGUACA
RNAcentral lists this transfer RNA (71 nucleotides) under Loxodonta africana (African savanna elephant). It matches the Rfam family "tRNA". Rfam says of the family: Transfer RNA (tRNA) molecules are approximately 80 nucleotides in length. Their secondary structure includes four short double-helical elements and three loops (D, anti-codon, and T loops). Further hydrogen bonds mediate the characteristic L-shaped molecular structure. tRNAs have two regions of fundamental functional importance: the anti-codon, which is responsible for specific mRNA codon recognition, and the 3' end, to which the tRNAs corresponding amino acid is attached (by aminoacyl-tRNA synthetases). tRNAs cope with the degeneracy of the genetic code in two manners: having more than one tRNA (with a specific anti-codon) for a particular amino acid; and 'wobble' base-pairing, i.e. permitting non-standard base-pairing at the 3rd anti-codon position. The record is from Rfam by way of RNAcentral. Lineage: Eukaryota; Metazoa; Chordata; Mammalia; Proboscidea; Elephantidae.